UGGAAAUGAAUAUCUUCUGCUAAUGUUAUGAUUUUAGCAUCAGUUGUUACUCUAUUAGAUAAAACUUCCUGUUUUGAGCUGAAUCACGGCUUAAAAGUUGAAUUCAUUGAUGACAGCACAGUAUUUGCUGUCAGGUCUCUCCGCGGCGAGUCCAUCUAUUCUCCCCUCUUCCCACAGGAGGAUGGACACAAAGGCUGCACUUGGGGUUUUCCGCUGAUCCCCAACUUGUUUGGAGAAACCCCAACUCGACUCGCCCUCGCCUCUCCUCCGUUCCGUGCCUCAACCCUCGCUUCUCCUCGACCUCCGGCGACGAUCACCGGCGGCCGCCAACCUCUCCGACAGGUUUUGAGAGCAGCAGUGCCUGAAAUUGUACCGAAACAUGAGAAAGAGAUAGCAUCUUUGUUAAAAAGCUACAAAAGACUUGUAUUCUAAGUGGCUAUUUGAGCUGAGGUGCGGCUUUGGCCUCUUAAUGUAUGGUUUUGUUUUCUAAGAAGAUUUUGCUUCAUCGGCAUUAACAGAGUUUGGAGCAGUUGUAAUCAAUGGCUAUCUUCCAUCGGUCAACAUAAAACAAGUAUUGUCCUCUACCGGUGCAUAUGCUAAUAAUUCAUGGAUUUUUGCGAUCCAAUAUCUUAUAAUUUUUAUGUUUUUUUUUUCCUCUGGUGAAUUAGGUGGAAGACAUAAUUUAUCUUCUCAUAAACCUCAAACUCAAUCCCUCCGCUGAAACCCUUAGAUUUCUCCAAGGAUUCAUGGUUAUAAUUGUGAAAUAUUUACUCUUUUUCCUAAAAUAAUUCAUAUAUGUCAAUCUAUGAAGUAGUAUUGGUGCAGGACCUAACUUAAGAAGACAACUUUAUAUGACUUAGGAUGAUAAUUACUUUUAUUCCUGCAGCUGAUUUGGUUUGAAUUGUCUUAUGUUCUGCAACCACCUCCAUCAGUAAACAUAUUGGAACUUCUCUGAUGCAAACAAUGUCAUAUGUUUGGAUAUUUUGUUUGGAAGGCAUAACCCUAAAGCUAGUUACUCAUUCAAGUGUCUAAUAAGCAUGGGUUUUCAUAUAUGAGUUGUCAAAGGUUCCAUUCAGAUUUUCAAUAUAGUAAAUAAAGAUGGUUCUCCCUCAUAUACAAGUUCCUCCUUCAUAAUUUUCUCUGUAUUCUCACUGUGCAUUGUUCCGCAAAUGUUCCCUUAUUGAUAUGUCCAUUUGAUAAGCAUCCAUGGAUAUGUUUCUAUGAUGCAGUUGUUUCACAUAAUGAACUAUAUAAUUCAUCUUAAAAAAAAACAGUGAACUGUAUAAUUGGAUUUGACAGAAUGGUACAGAGCAAUUGUUAUUGGUAGUCUUGAAUAGAAAUGUUUAGUUAGGCAUCAUAACCAUUUUUCUUUACUUAGGUAAGUCUGAGCAUUUUACGCACUUUCAUGUUCAGCCGAUUUAUAGACUUAAAUUUUAUAUUUAUUGGUUACUUAUCCAUUGUGCGUUUAUGUCUUGCUUCAGCAAUUUGGACUUUAGUCUGUGGAAGUGCUUAUUUCACUUGGAUUACAAUGGAAAUUCAAAAGCAUUAAGCAUUAUAGAAAAGUUGAUAAGUCCAUGGAGGCGAUCCACUUUGACAUCCCAAGAUCGAUAGCAAAAGGUGGCAGGUGUAGAUCUUCUUGGUUAGUAGAACAUAUAAAUAAUACAUCAAUAUAAUUUUAAAAAAUAAUAUUAAGAAUGGAAAAGCUAGGGGUUUUAACACUUCUAAGAAAAUUUUUGCUAUUUGAGUAUUAAAAUAAGAAUAUGUAUCUAUAUAUAUUAUUAUUAUUUUGUGUGUCAUUGUACCAAAUUUGUUGCUAACAUAAUACCAAAAAUAAUAUAUCCUAACAAUAUACAUUAAUUAUAUGUUAUACUUAGUCCGUACAUCAAAUAGAUGGGAAAAAAAUUGAAUGGUUCUUUCGGUGUUAUGUCCAAAAAAAUCAAGAAACUUCAUAAAGACUCAAGCUCCAUUUUGAUUCUCUUAAUUACUGGAGUAUGGGGACACUACUCUAGAAAUUUUGGACUCCAAAAUUGUAUAAUCUCGUGUUUUAAUGAUAUUCUUGUAGGGGGAAAAUAUCGUUGUAAUAUCCCAAUACCAAAGUGAAAAAAAGCCAUGGUAAGCAUUGGAAAACUUUUUAGAUCUCAUUAAGAAUUAUGCAUCUGCUCCUCUACCAUCCACUUUUCAUCCUUUCUCACCACUUCUUUACCAAUGAUCUAGCUCUCUCCCUCUCUCCAUGGCAUCUAGCUAAAGUCCAUCUUAAUGACAGUUCUCCGCUGCUUAAGAUGGAAACUAAGUUGGCUACGGUGAUGCUGGAGGACUCCUUGAUGCUUCACUUGGUGCCCUACCUCUAGCUUACCCAUGCUCCAUCCAUUCCCUAUUAGUCGCCUAGACCAAGCUCCACAUAUGGCUCAUCGCUGGCCUGGAUAAACCUCCAGUAUGCUCUCUUGUCAGCCUUUCUCCCAUCUAAUCAGAUCCAAAUCUAGUUCUAACAAAUCCCUCGGCAUUUUAUGCCAUAACCCCAUUCAAGACCCUAAUCUAGCCACCUCCAACAUCAAUUCAACUACCAAUAUAAUCAUCUAUCUCUUCAAGCAUCAAAUCCACAAUUAGUACCACCUCCACCACCACCAACAUCACCAUCUUCAUCAUCAUCUCCCUAACCUGCAUCACAAUUGCCACCUCUACCAUCGCAUUAAUCAUUGUUGCUGUCACUUCCAUAAUAAACCGCUCAUUUCAAGAAGAAACAAAAAGGUUUUUGACGAAGUCGUUUAACAACUAUUUCAUAUGUAAUAGUUCAGGACUUCACUCAAAAAAACUAGUUGGCAGGUGUUAUUUGGGUUUCAUGGUCUAUAUAAGUAUUCAAGAUCUACUCGGUGCAUAGUCAAUAUAAGACUAAACACAUGUUCGUAUAGGUCCUCACUAAAAUGCAGUACUUUCUCUAGGUGUUGUUGACUUUUUUUUACUAUUGGGAGACUGACGAGGAGGAAAUUGAAUAUGAAUGCUAUUAGUGAAAACCAU
Molecule: non-coding RNA, 3012 nt
Organism: Phoenix dactylifera (date palm)
Lineage: Eukaryota; Viridiplantae; Streptophyta; Magnoliopsida; Arecales; Arecaceae
Source: RefSeq, a predicted model, not a curated record